GCUGAUCUAUACAAACAUGGCAUGAUCAUUUACGUGUGGAACUCUGUUCCGUGUGAUUAUAUUAUUGGUUUCUUGUGGGUAGAUUACUGUAGCAAAGCGUUUGUCCUUCUACAGACAAAGCAUCUUCUCAUCUUUUUGGUUGCUUCUGUUAAGUCCGAUGAAAUGUCGGCCAAAAAAUCUCAGUUCCUUUGAUCCGUCAAGAAAAAUAUAAAUGUAAAUGUUUACCAGCAGAAAAUAUCUACAUAAUAUUCUUUCCCCCCUGACUAUUGCUUGCACACAUUUCAUAUUUUUACUAUACAUUCGAAGACAAAGAAUGGAUUAAUCCAAGUCAUAUAUAUAUACUAUAGUUAUUUCCUAGCAUCUUCGGUUAGGAACCGAAUGUAUUAAGAAUUAAGUACACAGGGUUAGGUAUUUGUACAUACAAGCACCUCCAAGAUGCUAGAAAUUUACAGAUUAAUUUUUUUCUUAAUACACUCGGUUCAGUUAUCUUAUGUGGGAUGGAACAAGUGUAUGUAUGUACAAAUAUCUAACCUUUUGCUAUUAUUUUGCUAGAGCUCUUAGAUAGAUACGAUACCCCCUAGACAACACAGUAGGAUGAUUUGAUGUUCUGUUCUCUCUACUGUUACGUGGAACGUAACGAUUCUUGUCAAAAGCACACGAUCUCAAGAUAAUAAGAUGAUAUUCAUAGAUUAAAACUGAGUACAAGGUUACAGAGAUGAUAAUGGAGUCUCUUCCCUCUCUUUCUCUCCUUGGUACUACUUACUAAAACACGAGAUACCCUCCCCCAAAACCCUCACAGCUAAUAUAUAGAUAAAGCAUAAAGCUAAAGUAACCAAACCAUGGUUACUCAUUACUAAACUAGAGUUACUUCUUCUUAUCCUCUCUUAACCGAUGGCCCACUCGUAUCAUCUACUUAGAGAACACCAUUGCAUUUGCCAAAUUGCCGUUUAUAUGAUGAUUUUGUUUGUCCCUAUCUUAA
Molecule: long non-coding RNA, 979 nt
Filed under: Brassica rapa (field mustard)
Lineage: Eukaryota; Viridiplantae; Streptophyta; Magnoliopsida; Brassicales; Brassicaceae
Description: long non-coding RNA (BRAP_LNC004211)
Source: RNAcentral